Molecule: ribosomal RNA, 253 nt
Filed under: uncultured prokaryote
Description: partial 16S ribosomal RNA
Rfam family: Bacterial small subunit ribosomal RNA
Source: RNAcentral
ACAGAGGUGCCGAGCGUUAGGCGGAAUCACUGGGCUUAAAGCGUGUGUAGGCGGGUCGUUAAGUGCCUUGUGAAAUCCCACAGCUCACCUGUGGAACUGCUUGGCAUACUGGCGAUCUUGAGCCACUUAGGGGCAACCGGAACAAACGGUGGAGCGGUGAAAUGCGUAGAUAUCAGGAGGAACACCGGUGGCGAAGGCGCUCAUCUGGCCCAAUACUGACGCUGAGGCGCGAAAGCUAGGGGAGCAAACGGGA